This 409-nucleotide ribosomal RNA is filed under the name uncultured Actinomycetes bacterium. Its description in RNAcentral is "bacterial SSU rRNA". It matches the Rfam family "Bacterial small subunit ribosomal RNA", at positions 233 to 659 of the family's 1533-position model. The record is from RNAcentral. Lineage: Bacteria; Bacillati; Actinomycetota; Actinomycetes.
GCGGCCUAUCAGCUUGUUGGCGGGGUAACGGCCCACCAAGGCAACGACGGGUAGCUGGUCUGAGAGGAUGGUCAGCCACACUGGGACUGAGACACGGCCCAGACUCCUACGGGAGGCAGCAGUGGGGAAUCUUGCGCAAUGGGCGAAAGCCUGACGCAGCAACGCCGCGUGCGGGAAGAAGGCUUUCGGGCUGUAAACCGCUUUCAGCAGGAACGAAAAUGACGGUGCCUGCAGAAGAAGGAGCGGCCAACUAUGUGCCAGCAGCCGCGGUGAUACAUAGGCUUCAAGCGUUGUCCGGAUUUAUUGGGCGUAAAGAGUUCGUAGGCGGUUAAGUAAGUCGGGUGUGAAAAUUCUGGGCUCAACCCAGAGACGCCACUCGAUACUGCUUGACUUGAGUUCGAUAGGGGAG